RNAcentral lists this transfer RNA (87 nucleotides) under Patescibacteria group bacterium. Its description in RNAcentral is "tRNA-Ser". It matches the Rfam family "tRNA". Rfam says of the family: Transfer RNA (tRNA) molecules are approximately 80 nucleotides in length. Their secondary structure includes four short double-helical elements and three loops (D, anti-codon, and T loops). The record is from RNAcentral.
GGUGGGGUCGCAUAGUGGACUAGUGCGCCUGUCUUGAAAACAGGUAGGGUUGCAAGACUCUCGUGAGUUCGAAUCUCACCCCCACCG